CGGAAACACAGACAGAAAAAAUGAAGGAAACGUUCUGAAAGUGGGAUCAAAGCUGCGAGGCCAAUGGAAAAGUAAUACUGCUAUCGAGGAGUUAAAGUAUUGUACCACUGACAAACAAAAAACAACAGCAGCAACAAAAAUGAUUUCAAAACAAGCCUAGUUGUGGAGGACAUCGCUUCACUGGCCCAAGUUG
Molecule: long non-coding RNA, 193 nt
Organism: Hipposideros armiger (great roundleaf bat)
Lineage: Eukaryota; Metazoa; Chordata; Mammalia; Chiroptera; Hipposideridae
Exons: 3
Source: RefSeq, a predicted model, not a curated record